RNAcentral lists this non-coding RNA (117 nucleotides) under Helianthus annuus (common sunflower). Lineage: Eukaryota; Viridiplantae; Streptophyta; Magnoliopsida; Asterales; Asteraceae. The record is from RNAcentral.
UGGUUUUAUGAGAGAUGGUUGGCAUCUCCCCUGACAGGGACGGGAACAACUUUCGAGCUUACCUGUUACUACACAUCCGGUUAAAACUAAAUACACGGUUGCAUUAAAUCGUUUUUU